Molecule: ribosomal RNA, 253 nt
Filed under: uncultured bacterium
Lineage: Bacteria
Description: partial 16S ribosomal RNA
Rfam family: Bacterial small subunit ribosomal RNA
Source: RNAcentral
UACGGAGGGUGCAAGCGUUAUCCGGAAUCAUUGGGUUUAAAGGGUCCGCAGGCGGACGUAUAAGUCAGUGGUGAAAGCCUACAGCUUAACUGUAGAACUGCCAUUGAUACUGUACGUCUUGAAUUCGGUCGAAGUGGGCGGAAUGUGUCAUGUAGCGGUGAAAUGCAUAGAUAUGACACAGAACACCGAUAGCGAAGGCAGCUUACUAAGGUGUCAAUGACGCUGAGGCACGAAAGCGUGGGGAUCAAACAGG